CCUACGGGAGGCAGCAGUGGGGAAUAUUGCGCAAUGGGCGAAAGCCUGACGCAGCAACGCCGCGUGGGGGAUGAAGGCCUUCGGGUUGUAAACCUCUUUCAGCAGGGAAGAAGCGAAAGUGACGGUACCUGCAGAAGAAGCACCGGCUAACUACGUGCCAGCAGCCGCGGUAAUACGUAGGGUGCAAGCGUUGUCCGGAUUUAUUGGGCGUAAAGAGCUCGUAGGCGGUUAGUCACGUCGGAUGUGAAAUCCCGGAGCUUAACUCCGGGCCUGCAUUCGAUACGGGCUGACUCGAGUGUUGUAGGGGAGACUGGAACUCCUGGUGUAGCGGUGAAAUGCGCAGAUAUCAGGAAGAACACCGGUGGCGAAGGCGGGUCUCUGGGCAACUACUGACGCUGAGGAGCGAAAGCGUGGGGAGCAAACAGGAUUAGAUACCCUGGUAGUCCACGCCGUAAACGGUGGGCGCUAGGUGUGGGGAACAUCCUACGUUCUCUGCGCCGCGACGCUACGACUAUAACGUCCGCCCCGCCCGGUCGGGUACGGUACGGCCGCCGACGGACGUAAACCUUAACUAGUAGUAGACGGCGNGAGACGCGCCGACGGACGACGACGAGGGAGGUAGG
Molecule: ribosomal RNA, 623 nt
Filed under: uncultured bacterium
Lineage: Bacteria
Description: bacterial SSU rRNA
Rfam family: Bacterial small subunit ribosomal RNA (bases 1-530)
Source: RNAcentral